Molecule: ribosomal RNA, 253 nt
Filed under: uncultured bacterium
Lineage: Bacteria
Description: partial 16S ribosomal RNA
Rfam family: Bacterial small subunit ribosomal RNA
Source: RNAcentral
UACGUAGGGUGCAAGCGUUGUCCGGAAUUAUUGGGCGUAAAGAGCUCGUAGGCGGUUUGUCGCGUCGAAUGUGAAAUCCCGGGGCUCAACCCCGGGUCUGCAUUCGAUACGGGCAGACUAGAGUUCGGUAGGGGAGUCUGGAAUUCCUGGUGUAGCGGUGAAAUGCGCAGAUAUCAGGAGGAACACCGGUGGCGAAGGCGGGACUCUGGGCCGAUACUGACGCUGAGGAGCGAAAGCGUGGGGAGCAAGCAGG